RNAcentral lists this ribosomal RNA (234 nucleotides) under Streptococcus agalactiae GB00901. Its description in RNAcentral is "partial 16S ribosomal RNA". It matches the Rfam family "Bacterial small subunit ribosomal RNA", at positions 1 to 226 of the family's 1533-position model. Lineage: Bacteria; Bacillati; Bacillota; Bacilli; Lactobacillales; Streptococcaceae. The record is from RNAcentral.
UUUAAUGAGAGUUUGAUCCUGGCUCAGGACGAACGCUGGCGGCGUGCCUAAUACAUGCAAGUAGAACGCUGAGGUUUGGUGUUUACACUAGACUGAUGAGUUGCGAACGGGUGGUAACGCGUAGGUAACCUGCCUCAUAGCGGGGGAUAACUAUUGGAAACGAUAGCUAAUACCGCAUAAGAGUAAUUAACACAUGUUAGUUAUUUAAAAGGAGCAAUUGCUUCACUGUGAGAU